UUCUAUGUGCUCGCAAAAUCGUUUCAUGGAACAAAAAAUAUUUUUUGUAUCAUAGGUAAGAAAGACAAAAUUGGGUGUAAAAAAGACUUCAUAAGACAUUUUCUUUAUUUUUUCAAAAUUUACGGUACCCGGUACUCCAGAACGACGCGGUGGAGUACCAAGCAUAUCUGACCGUUCGUGAUAAAGGAUUAGUGUUAAUAUUAUCAUUCUAAAAGUGCCAAAAGGGCAAUAUGCACUUUAAAUAUCCUCUUGUUUUCCGAUAGAGGAGCACCUGUGAGACUGUGAUCGAUCGACUGAGCCACCGCGCCCCACCCCCACUGCGCCGCCUCCUCGCUCGAUUCAGUGGCCCCGGACCCCUCUGCGCCGUCGCUGCUUCGCCUCACCCCCGCUGUCUCGGUCGAUUCCGCGGCCCCGGGGCCCACUGCGCCGCCGCCGCAUCUAGGCCUUUUUGGCUGCCUCGCGCCGCACCUGCUCCGCCGCCGCAUUUGGGCCUUGUUGGCUACGUCGCGCCGCUGCCUGGGACGUCCUUGUUGGAAGUCCCAUCUUCCUCGGCCGGUUCUGCCCUUGUUGGCCGUCUGGCGGCGCCGCCUCACGCGUCCUGGUCGAAGGGCCCUUCUUCUCCUUUUUUUUGCGAAUAUAGGGCCCUUCUUCUCCAACGUGCGGCUGACCCGUCCGUUAUCUUCGCCUUCGUCCCGAUCGCCUGUGCGUUCUUCAUUGCUGUGACGACGUGACCUGGUUUGGACAAUGGAUCAUAUUGGCGAAACAGAGGUGAGAGAAGAAUAUAUUACGAUGGUCAGUCAAAUAUUUGAUAGCGAAGAACAAGGUUACGAGCACUACAACAAAUAUGUGAAAGAGAAAGGGCUCAAUGUCAGAUUGGACUAGAAAGAGUAUGUGGCUUGGACCAAAGAAGUAAAAAAAAGACAGUUUCCCGUUUGCAGAAGUAUUUUGAAGCAACUGAGCAAAAGAGAUAGACAUGAAGUUUGGUUACAGUUUCUAUUUCCUGUAUGUACGGAGACCUGAAGUUUGGUUUUGCUGUACAGGCCUUGAAGUUUGGUUACAUGUUCUAUUUCCUGUAAGGAUUGCUUUGUUCUGCAGACAAUAUUGCUUGUGUGUUACUGCGGCUAGUUCAAAAAUAUUGAGUGCAAUUGACCUUGUUGCUCUGUUGGUUUUGAUCAUAUUUGUAAUUCAAUUUCUGUAUGCCUGUUGGCAACGAAGUGGAUACAGAGAGUGGAGCAAGGGUUUGCGAUUAUGAAAUAUCUGUGUGUAA
Lolium perenne is the source of this 1267-nucleotide long non-coding RNA. RefSeq lists it as uncharacterized. NCBI's taxonomy places the organism in Eukaryota, Viridiplantae, Streptophyta, Magnoliopsida, Poales, Poaceae. The record is from RefSeq and is a predicted model, not a curated record.